RNAcentral lists this ribosomal RNA (500 nucleotides) under uncultured bacterium. RNAcentral describes it as "partial 16S ribosomal RNA". It matches the Rfam family "Bacterial small subunit ribosomal RNA", at positions 28 to 507 of the family's 1533-position model. The record is from RNAcentral.
GACGAACGCUGGCGGCGUGCUUAACACAUGCAAGUCGAACGGGCCUGUCUUCUUUUUUGGGGGGUGGGUUGAGUGGCGAACGGGUGAGUAUCACGUGAGUAACCUGCCCUUCGGUCCUGGAUAACCGCUUGAAAGGGCGGCUAAUACGGGGUGGUCCGGUUGGUCCGCAUGGGCUGGUCGGGAUAGAUUCACUGUUUUUGGUGUUUCGGCGGGGGAUGGGCUCGCGGCCUAUCAGCUUGUUGGUGGGGUGAUGGCCUACCAAGGCGGUGACGGGUAGCUGGCCUGAGAGGGUGGGCGGCCACACUGGGACUGAGAUACGGCCCAGACUCCUGCGGGAGGCAGCAGUGGGGGGUAUUGCACAAUGGGCGGAAGCCUGAUGCAGCGACGUCGCGUGAGGGAUGGAGGCCUUCGGGUUGUGAACCUCUGUUUCCGGUGGUGAAGGCCCUGUCCGUGUGGUGGGGUUGACGGUAGCCGGGGAUGAAGCGCCGGCUAACUACGUG